Molecule: ribosomal RNA, 404 nt
Filed under: uncultured bacterium
Lineage: Bacteria
Description: bacterial SSU rRNA
Rfam family: Bacterial small subunit ribosomal RNA
Source: RNAcentral
UGGGGAAUAUUGGUCAAUGGGCGAAAGCCUGAACCAGCCAUGCCGCGUGAGUGAUGAAGGCCUUAGGGUUGUAAAGCUCUUUCGGCGGGGAAGAUAAUGACGGUACCCGCAGAAGAAGCCCCGGCUAACUUCGUGCCAGCAGCCGCGGUAAUACGAAGGGGGCUAGCGUUGUUCGGAAUCACUGGGCGUAAAGCGCGCGUAGGCGGGUCGUUAAGUCAGGGGUGAAAUCCCGAGGCUCAACCUCGGAACUGCCUUUGAUACUGGCGACCUUGAGUCCGGGAGAGGUGAGUGGAACUCCUAGUGUAGAGGUGAAAUUCGUAGAUAUUAGGAAGAACACCAGUGGCGAAGGCGGCUCACUGGCCCGGUACUGACGCUGAUGCGCGAAAGCGUGGGGAGCAAACAGG